This 223-nucleotide non-coding RNA is filed under the name Chromera velia. The record is from RNAcentral. Lineage: Eukaryota; Chromeraceae.
UCUCUCUUCCCCACCCGCAGCCUCUCUCCGUCGCUCUCUCUCUCUCUCUGUCUCUGUGCGCGGGUGCGUUCGUCUGCUGCCUCCUUUUUUGGCCGACCCCUUUUUCGAUCUGCCAGGCAUGCAACCGAAGGGGAAGUACCCAAAGCUCCCUCCCUUCAUUCCUGCUUGUCUGCCUGCAUGCUUUUCUCUCUUUUUUCAAAAACAACCGACAGAAGAAAGCAAC